RNAcentral lists this ribosomal RNA (253 nucleotides) under uncultured bacterium. RNAcentral describes it as "partial 16S ribosomal RNA". It matches the Rfam family "Bacterial small subunit ribosomal RNA", at positions 524 to 776 of the family's 1533-position model. The record is from RNAcentral.
UACGAAGGGGGCUAGCGUUGCUCGGAAUCACUGGGCGUAAAGCGCACGUAGGCGGAUUGUUAAGUCAGGGGUGAAAUCCUGGAGCUCAACUCCAGAACUGCCUUUGAUACUGGCGAUCUUGAGUCCGGGAGAGGUGAGUGGAACUGCGAGUGUAGAGGUGAAAUUCGUAGAUAUUCGCAAGAACACCAGUGGCGAAGGCGGCAUCCUGGACCGACAUUGACGCUGAGGAGCGAAAGCUAGGGGAGCAAACGGG